This is a long non-coding RNA of Aphis gossypii (cotton aphid), 1096 nucleotides long. RefSeq lists it as uncharacterized. The record is from RefSeq and is a predicted model, not a curated record. Lineage: Eukaryota; Metazoa; Arthropoda; Insecta; Hemiptera; Aphididae. The transcript has 4 exons.
AAUGUAUAAGUUUUUUGUAUUUAUUUGGAGUAUUGGAUUAGGACACUGAUAAAUUAUAUUUUUUCAGUUACAAUUCAAACGUCACUUUUGUGGUCAUAAAUCAUGAUUUUAUUCCAAUAUUCCUAUAGUGUUUAUAAUCUGAUUGCAGACAACCAUCGUCGUCGUCGAGAAGAGAAAAAAAUAUGGAAGAAGCCUGUGUGACUAUGGAAAUCGACCGCAGUCGCGAUUGUGCAUUUCUGGUGAUGAAGCAAUAUAUCACUAUAUUGAUACAAUUCCGAAUUAGCAGACAAUCUAAUUUAACUAACAGGCGACAGCUGCAGAGUGCAGACUUAAAAGGUUGACGGUCCAGAAGUUUCAACCACCAAAAUCGGCAUUGAUGACGCCGAUAUAGUCAUAUAGAUACUUCGGUAUAGAACACUAGAACCUACUCUUCGCCGGCGUCGUGCACAACUUUUAUUAUUAUCGCCACGGUAUUUUACUCAACAACCCGGCUUAUCCGGCGCAAUGUACAGGCAAUUUCACUACAUUAACGUGUAGAUUUGUUGGUGUAUGGUGUAACUCGAUAUAAAUAUAUACUCUCAUCUGAAAAAUGAAGAUACAAGUUAUAUGAACGUCGAUAUUUAAUACUUAUAAUUUAUCAGUCCAAUUUAAUAUUUCGUACAGCACCUACUGUUUUUCAACGAAGUGAAGACAAAAACAUGAAAACACUAAACACAUCACGAUAGACUUGCAUAAUAUAAUAUUGCAUUGUACAUACUUAAAUUUAUAUUACGAUGUAAUAAUUGUUAAAAAAAAUUUGUUCUAUUACAGAUUUAUCAUCAUAUUUAUUUAAAAUAUAAAUAAUCUCGUAUACUAAUAAUAUUUUGUGCACAUUAUAUGGUCAUAUAAUAACCCUAUUGACCGGUUAAUGUGUUUAGCAAAUUGCAAAUGAGUCUAUCAUCUUCACACAAACUAAUAAACACGUUAAUUUACAUACCUAAUUUUAUUAAUUUUAAUUAUCAAUGUUACUUAAUUUAAUAUAUCCUAAAGUUAGUUAUUUUACACUAUUAUGUAUAAAUCAUAUAUGUAUUAAUUUUACUUCUGUAAAAAUUGUCCA